UGGGGAAUAUUGGUCAAUGGGCGAAAGCCUGAUCCAGCCAUGCCGCGUGUGUGAAGAAGGUCUUCGGAUUGUAAAGCACUUUAAGUUGGGAGGAAGGGCAGUUACCUAAUACGUGAUUGUUUUGACGUUACCGACAGAAUAAGCACCGGCUAACUCUGUGCCAGCAGCCGCGGUAAUACAGAGGGUGCAAGCGUUAAUCGGAAUUACUGGGCGUAAAGCGCGCGUAGGUGGUUCGUUAAGUUGGAUGUGAAAUCCCCGGGCUCAACCUGGGAACUGCAUUCAAAACUGUCGAG
This 293-nucleotide ribosomal RNA is filed under the name uncultured Pseudomonas sp. RNAcentral's name for it is "partial 16S ribosomal RNA". It matches the Rfam family "Bacterial small subunit ribosomal RNA", at positions 355 to 640 of the family's 1533-position model. The record is from RNAcentral. Lineage: Bacteria; Pseudomonadati; Pseudomonadota; Gammaproteobacteria; Pseudomonadales; Pseudomonadaceae.